AACGCACCUUGCGCUCCUUGGUAUUCCGAGGAGCAUGCCUGUUUGAGUGUCAUUAAAUUCUCAACCCAUUCAGCUUUGUUAAGUUGGUAUGUGGCUUGGAUGUGGGGGUUUUGUGCAGGUCUCGAUAGAGGUCAGCUCCCCUGAAAUGCAUUAGCGGAACGGUUUGCGAUCUGUCACUGGUGUGAUAAUUAUCUACGCCGAAGAUGAUGAACGCUCUAUCUGUUCAGCUUACAACGGUCCUCUAUGGACAACUUUUGAAUGUUUGACCUCAAAUCAGGUAGGACUACCCGCUGAACUUAA
This 300-nucleotide unclassified non-coding RNA is filed under the name uncultured Cystolepiota. RNAcentral's name for it is "partial contains 5.8S ribosomal RNA, internal transcribed spacer 2, and large subunit ribosomal RNA". The stretch from base 1 to 52 matches the Rfam family "5.8S ribosomal RNA", at positions 103 to 154 of the family's 154-position model. Lineage: Eukaryota; Fungi; Basidiomycota; Agaricomycetes; Agaricales; Agaricaceae. The record is from RNAcentral.